AUUGAACGCUGGCGGCAUGCCUUACACAUGCAAGUCGAACGGCAGCACGGGUGCUUGCACCUGGUGGCGAGUGGCGAACGGGUGAGUAAUACAUCGGAACAUGUCCUGUAGUGGGGGAUAGCCCUCCGAAAGCCGGAUUAAUACCGCAUACGAUCUACGGAUGAAAGCGGGGGACCUUCGGGCCUCGCGCUUUGGGGUGGGCCGGUGGCUGAUUUGCUCGUUGGUGGGGUAGAGGCUGACCAAGGCGACGAAGGGUAGCUGGUGUGAGAGGGCGACAGGCGACAUGGGGAAUGAGGUACGGGCCAGACGCGGAAGGGAGGCAGCGGUGGGGAAUAUGGCACAAGGGGCGGAAGGCUGAGGCAGCAACGCCGGGUGCGGGAUGAGGGCCGUCGGGUUGUAAACCGCGGUCGCCUGUGACGAAGCGGGAGUGACGGUAAUGGGUAAAGAAGCACCGGCUAACUACGUG
This 466-nucleotide ribosomal RNA is filed under the name uncultured bacterium. RNAcentral's name for it is "partial 16S ribosomal RNA". It matches the Rfam family "Bacterial small subunit ribosomal RNA", at positions 28 to 507 of the family's 1533-position model. The record is from RNAcentral.